Long non-coding RNA from Pistacia vera, 182 nucleotides. RefSeq lists it as uncharacterized. Lineage: Eukaryota; Viridiplantae; Streptophyta; Magnoliopsida; Sapindales; Anacardiaceae. The record is from RefSeq and is a predicted model, not a curated record. The transcript has 2 exons.
UAUUUCUUAGUCUGCUUGGUUGCAGAACGAAGAUAAUUCCGCAACUGAUUCGAGAAUCGGAUUUGGUCUUUCAGUUUCUAGAAAUUGAAUUAUCAAUUAUUUAAGUUUAUUAGCGACAAACAGCGCGUUUGUUCAAUUGGCAAAGAUGACUAAAAGUUCCUUCAAGAUAGAGCAUGAUUUUC